UGGGGAAUAUUGGACAAUGGGCGAAAGCCUGAUCCAGCAAUGCCGCGUGUGUGAAGAAGGUCUUAGGAUUGUAAAGCACUUUCGACGGGGACGAUGAUGACGGUACCCGUAGAAGAAGCCCCGGCUAACUUCGUGCCAGCAGCCGCGGUAAUACGAAGGGGGCUAGCGUUGCUCGGAAUGACUGGGCGUAAAGGGCGCGUAGGCGGAUUGGUUAGUUAGGUGUGAAAUUCCUGGGCUUAACCUGGGGACUGCACUUAAUACAGCCAGUCUAGAGUGAGAUAGAGGGUUGUGGAAUUCCCAGUGUAGAGGUGAAAUUCGUAGAUAUUGGGAAGAACACCGGUGGCGAAGGCGGCAACCUGGAUCUUUACUGACGCUGAGGCGCGAAAGCGUGGGGAGCAAACAGG
RNAcentral lists this ribosomal RNA (404 nucleotides) under uncultured bacterium. RNAcentral's name for it is "bacterial SSU rRNA". It matches the Rfam family "Bacterial small subunit ribosomal RNA", at positions 355 to 776 of the family's 1533-position model. The record is from RNAcentral.